UACGUAGGGUGCAAGCGUUAAUCGGAAUUACUGGGCGUAAAGCGUGCGCAGGCGGUUGUGCAAGACCGAUGUGAAAUCCCCGGGCUUAACCUGGGAACUGCAUUUGUGACUGCACGGCUAGAGUGUGUCAGAGGGGGGUAGAAUUCCACGUGUAGCAGUGAAAUGCGUAGAUAUGUGGAGGAAUACCGAUGGCGAAGGCAGCCCCCUGGGAUAACACUGACGCUCAUGCACGAAAGCGUGGGGAGCAAACAGG
Molecule: ribosomal RNA, 253 nt
Filed under: uncultured bacterium
Lineage: Bacteria
Description: partial 16S ribosomal RNA
Rfam family: Bacterial small subunit ribosomal RNA
Source: RNAcentral